UGUGUGUGUGUGUUAUCGGAUGGUUGCGGUCUCUUUGGGCCCCGCUGGUUGGAUAAGAGGGAGGGCCCAAAUAAUCCAUCCCCUGCUCCCUGUUGGAAUUCCGGAAUCGAGGCCGACGCUGGAACAAGGCCGGAUCAGAUAAACCUGUGCAGUAAGGUAAGGAAGGAUUCAAAUCAUGAUCCCGUAAGCUGAACGAGCUCCCUUUCUUUCUCUUCCCCAAGCUCUCGUCUCCUCCAGAAACCUUGUUGUCUGGCCCUGUGCCGUUAGCUUCGCCUGCUCUCCUUCCCCUCCCACUCCGGCGGGUGCGUACAUAGUAGUUGUUGUUCAGUUCGUUUUCGUCGUCUCGGCGACGCUUUCUCUUGGAGCCCAGCGUGUCUUGGACGUGGCGAGUUCUUGGCGACCUUGUUCUCUGUUUCUGGCAGGAAAAAUCGCUGAGAUUCGUUGUUUCCUUGGCUGGCUUGCUCUUCCUUCUCUUAGUUUUCUUUCCCUGAAUAAAUCCUGCGUUGAUGUGUAUCCAAAACCACCUGCUCCCAAAUCUCAUAGUUUAGCACACCGGUGGUUCUUCAAGUCUUCACUUCAGGUCUUUUGGUGGCAGAUGCAAGCUGCCUCUUUCUCUUUCAACUCCAGCAAAAUCCUUCUUCAACCUCCAUGCGAGGCCCCAUUGUGGGUUCAAGGACUUGCUGGCAUGGAAGAUGGAAGGCCAAGACGCAUCUAUCCUUUCCAGGAGACGGCUGCCCAUGACAGGGGCGAAUCUCUCUUCUCCGAAGCGCAGGUAUGCCCAAGAUAUUUGGCGCAGGUCGCCAAAAACUCGACGUGUGCCCUGUGUGUACGUGUCCACAAGGGACCAAGUUGUAAUUAUGUUUUUUUCUUGGGUCCUAGUAGAUGUUAUCUCUGGUUGUAACUUUACCCUGAGGUCCUUUCACCUCAGAUCUUAAUACAAGCGCAGGACCACUUCCAAAAAAGAAA
Brachypodium distachyon (stiff brome) is the source of this 966-nucleotide long non-coding RNA. RefSeq lists it as uncharacterized. NCBI's taxonomy places the organism in Eukaryota, Viridiplantae, Streptophyta, Magnoliopsida, Poales, Poaceae. The transcript is spliced from 2 exons. The record is from RefSeq and is a predicted model, not a curated record.